UACGUAGGGUGCGAGCGUUAAUCGGAAUUACUGGGCGUAAAGCGUGCGCAGGCGGUCCGCAAAGUCUGAUGUGAAAGCCCCGGGCUCAACCCGGGAACUGCGUCCGAUACUGGAAGGCUUGAAUCCGGGAGAGGGAUGUGGAAUUCCAGGUGUAGCGGUGAAAUGCGUAGAUAUCUGGAGGAACACCGGUGGCGAAGGCGACAUCCUGGACCGGUAUUGACGCUGAGGCGCGAAAGCCAGGGGAGCAAACGGG
This 253-nucleotide ribosomal RNA is filed under the name uncultured bacterium. RNAcentral's name for it is "partial 16S ribosomal RNA". It matches the Rfam family "Bacterial small subunit ribosomal RNA", at positions 524 to 776 of the family's 1533-position model. The record is from RNAcentral.